AUUGAACGCUGGCGGCAGGCUUACCGAACUACACAUGCAAGUCGAGCGGUCCGUAAGCACAGGGGAGCUUGCUCCCUGGGUGACGAGCGGCGGACGGGUGAGUAAUGUCUGGGAAACUGCCUGAUGGAGGGGGAUAACUACUGGAAACGGUAGCUAAUACCGCAUAACGUCGCAAGACCAAAGAGGGGGACCUUCGGGCCUCUUGCCAUCAGAUGUGCCCAGAUGGGAUUAGCUAGUAUGGCUCCCAGUAGUGGACCUAGGCGACGAUCCCUAGCUGGUCUGAGAGGAUGACCAGCCAGAACUGACCAGUGACACGGUCCAGACUCCUACGGGAGGCAGCAGUGGGGAAUAUUGCACAAUGGGCGCCAGUGAUGGGUAAAGCCGCCGCGUGUGUGAAGAAGGCCUUCGGGUUGUAAAGCACUUUCAGCGAGGAGGAAGGUGGUGAACUUAAUACGUUCAUCAAUUGACGUUACUCGCAGAAGAAGCACCGGCUAACUCCGUCCAGUGCGUGCAAGCGUUAAUCCCAGUAGUGGAAGUGGAAGGAAUUACUGGGCGUAAAGCGCACGCAGGCGGUUUGUUAAGUCCCAGUGAUAGUCAACCUGGGAACCAGUUUCGUGCUACUGCAUUUGAGCAAGCUAGAGUCUCGUAGAGGGGGGUAGAAUUCCAGGUGUAGCGGUGAAAUGCGUAGAGAUCUGGAGGAAUACCGGUGGCGAAGGCGGCCCCCUGGACGAAGACUGACGCUCAGGUGCGAAAGCGUGGGGAGCAAACAGGAUUAGAUACCCUGGUAGUCCAGCCAGUGAUGAUAACCGGGUGCGAGGUUGUGCCCUUGAGGCGUGGCUUCCGGAGCUAACGCGUUAAAUCGACCGCCUGGGGAGUACGGCCGCAAGGUUAAAACUCAAAUGAAUUGACGGGGGCCCGCACAAGCGGUGGAGCAUGUGGUUUAAUUCGAUGCAACGCGAAGAACCUUACCUACUCUUGACAUCCAGAGAACUUUCCAGAGAUGGAUUGGUGCCUUCGGGAACUCUGAGACAGGUGCUGCAUGGCUGUCGUCAGCUCGUGUUGCCAUGGACGUAACGUGGAAUGUUGGGGAGCGCAACCCUUAUCCUUUGUUGCCAGCGGUUCGGCCGGGACCGAUGCAACUCAAAGGAGUGAUAAACUGGAGGAAGGUGGGGAUGACGUCAAGUCAUCAUGGCCCUUACGAGUAGGGCUACACACGUGCUACAAUGGCAUAUACAAAGAGAAGCGACCUCGCGAGAGCAAGCGGACCUCAUAAAGUA
RNAcentral lists this ribosomal RNA (1277 nucleotides) under Serratia marcescens. RNAcentral describes it as "bacterial SSU rRNA". It matches the Rfam family "Bacterial small subunit ribosomal RNA", at positions 26 to 1283 of the family's 1533-position model. The record is from RNAcentral. Lineage: Bacteria; Pseudomonadati; Pseudomonadota; Gammaproteobacteria; Enterobacterales; Yersiniaceae.